CGAACGCGAAAGUCCCCUUCGGGGGAAAGUAGAGUGGCGCACGGGUGAGUAACACGUAGGUAAUCUACCUUCGGGUGGGGAAUAACAACCGGAAACGGUUGCUAAUACCGCAUAAUGCAGCGGCACCUAAUGGUGACAGUUGUUAAAGCGGGGGAUCGCAAGACCUCGCGCCUGAAGAGGAGCCUGCGGCGGAUUAGCUAGUUGGUAGGGUAACGGCCUACCAAGGCUACGAUCCGUAGCCGGCCUGAGAGGGCGGUCGGCCACACUGACACUGACAUACGGGUCAGACUCCUACGGGAGGCAGCAGUCGGGAAUUUUGGGCAAUGGGCGAAAGCCUGACCCAGCAACGCCGCGUGAAGGAUGAAAUCCUUCGGGAUGUAAACUUCGCAAGAACGGGGAGAAUAAGCUGGUGUUAACAUCACCGGCGAUGACGGUACCGUUUGUAAGCUCCGGCUAACUCCGUGCCAGCAGCCGCGGUAAUACGGGGGGAGCAAGCGUUGUUCGGAUUUACUGGGCGUAAAGGGCGCGUAGGCGGCCACCGCAAGUCAAUUGUGAAAUCUCCGGGCUUAACUCGGAAAGGUCAACUGAUACUGCGGGGCUAGAGUGCGGAAGGGGCAACUGGAAUUCUCGGUGUAGCGGUGAAAUGCGUAGAUAUCGAGAGGAACACCUGCGGCGAAGGCGGGUUGCUGGGCCGACACUGACGCUGAGGCGCGAAAGCUAGGGGAGCGAACGGGAUUAGAUACCCCGGUAGUCCUAGCCUUAAACGAUGAAUGCUUGGUGUCUGGGGUUAUAAAGUCCCCGGGUGCCGUCGCUAACGCUUUAAGCAUUCCGCCUGGGGAGUACGGUCGCAAGACUGA
Molecule: ribosomal RNA, 857 nt
Filed under: uncultured bacterium
Lineage: Bacteria
Description: bacterial SSU rRNA
Rfam family: Bacterial small subunit ribosomal RNA
Source: RNAcentral